This 1588-nucleotide unclassified non-coding RNA is filed under the name Hevea brasiliensis (rubber tree). Lineage: Eukaryota; Viridiplantae; Streptophyta; Magnoliopsida; Malpighiales; Euphorbiaceae. The record is from RNAcentral.
GUGGGUACAAAAAUGUCCAUCAACAUCAACCAUGGAAUAUUGAUGAAACAUUAAACAAGUUGUCUAGAAACAUUGAAGCUUCUACAACAGCCAUUGAAUAACUUCUAUAACAGCCUUUGAAUGAGAACCAAUGGAAAUGAGAGACUUGUGAAUUCUGAUUGGUGUCAAAUUUAUUUCCUUUUUAACAGAUCAUAGGUGACACAAAGUCCGUUCACCAUUUAUCCAUAGGUGAAUUCCAUGAAAUUUAGAUGGAAACCAAUAAAUAAGAUACAAAAGUUAACCAAUGGAGAUAAUAAGAUGUUUUAGGGAAGGUAAAAGUAAUAAAAAUGCUUCUCUUGAGAAAUUCCACAAUUGAGAUAAAACAGUCGAGAAUCUAAGGUACCUAACUACCAACUUUAACUGAUAGAUCCCACCAUCUGGAUCUACUCUUUGAUUAGUAAGAAUAAAUGACCAGACCUAAUCAUACAUCCAUAGAUAAUAUUUAUGUUUCCAGCGGCUUGACAUGGAUUGGUUUUAACCAAAUGCCUUUAAGGCAUUCAUCUGCUUCUUGUAUGGUUCUCAAGUCUUAAUCAAGGGGGAACAUUCUGACCAGCAUCCAUGGAAGAGUAAUAAGAAAGAAUCAAUCCAGUAGGAGUGAUGUACAUAGGGCAUUGAUUUCAUUCCCUUGAAUCCACAUCAUACAUCUGAAGCUAAUACCAGCAGAACCGAUAUUUUCAAUAUUUAAUAAUGAAUCACAAUGAAUGAUGAAAUAUAUAUAUAUAUAUAAACAAUGGUUACAUCACUGCUUUAGUAGAGCUUUAUUCUCAUUUGAAUUGUGCUUCGACAGAUCGGACAUAACUGAAGGCUUUCUCCACAUUCACAGCACGUCUGAUGACCACAACCAAAGGCCAUGUCCUUCGCAUUAGUGAGGCAAAUGGGACAAACCUGAUUAUCAUAAGUUGAAGCUGGAGCAGGUGGAGCUGAGCUGGCUGGUUGGGUGUCAACUGGAUUAGAAGGAAAACUUGGCUUAAAACUGUUCGAUUGGGAAGGUUUAGAGGUGCUGAAAGAUGUUGCACCAUAUAAAGGUGGAGGGAGGGAAAUCCUCUCAGGAACAUUCCCCUUGCAACGACCCAAUAUAUUAAGCUCUAUCGUGGCCUUAUAUUGAGAAGGAAUUUCCAUUAGAGCUGCCAGAGCAAAUUCUGUCUCCUUUUGGGAUGAGUCCACAUGCUUUGACAUAAUUUCUGUAAAAUUUACAAAUUGGAAAUUAUCGAACUCUCGAGCAGGAAUGUUAUCAUCAAAUUCCCUCAUCAUGUCCCAAGGUCCAUCUCCAACCCCAACUAAUACAAUCGAUAAGGGAAGCUUACUUGCCUCUACAAUGGCAUCAACAGUCUUCUGCUCUUGUGGACUUAGCUGUCCACGCUCCGUAUCAACACUUCUAGUAACCUGCCCAUCUGCAAUUAUCAAUAACACAUGGUACUGGCCACCACUCUGCUCAACAAUGGUUGAUGCCAUUUCAAUGACAGGAGCAAAAGAUGUCGGUCCUGCAAGUCGAAGAUUGGGCACGAUUUCCCUGUAGCGACUCAGAACUUCCUCAAAUCCAUUGCAGAAU